RNAcentral lists this ribosomal RNA (254 nucleotides) under uncultured bacterium. Its description in RNAcentral is "partial 16S ribosomal RNA". It matches the Rfam family "Bacterial small subunit ribosomal RNA", at positions 524 to 776 of the family's 1533-position model. The record is from RNAcentral.
UACGGGGGGGGCAAGCGUUGUUCGGAAUUACUGGGCGUAAAGGGCUCGUAGGCGGCCAACUAAGUCCGACGUGAAAUCCCCAGGCUUAACCUGGGAACUGCGUCGGAUACUGGAUGGCUUGAAUCCGGGAGAGGGAUGCGGAAUUCCAGGUGUAGCGGUGAAAUGCGUAGAUAUCUGGAGGAACACCGGUGGCGAAGGCGGCGUCCUGGACCAAUACUGACACUGAGUGAGCGAAAGCCAGGGGAGCAAACGGG